Molecule: ribosomal RNA, 449 nt
Filed under: uncultured bacterium
Lineage: Bacteria
Description: partial 16S ribosomal RNA
Rfam family: Bacterial small subunit ribosomal RNA
Source: RNAcentral
AACGAACGCUGGCGGCAUGCCUAACACAUGCAAGUCGAACGAGAUCUUCGGGUCUAGUGGCGCACGGGUGCGUAACGCGUGGGAAUCUGCCCUUUGGUUCGGAAUAACAGUUGGAAACGACUGCUAAUACCGGAUGAUGACGAAAGUCCAAAGAUUUAUCGCCAGAGGAUGAGCCCGCGUAGGAUUAGCUAGUUGGUGUGGUACAGGCGCACCAAGGCGACGAUCCUUAGCUGGUCUGAGAGGAUGAUCAGCCACACUGGGACUGAGACACGGCCCAGACUCCUACGGGAGGAAGCAGUGGGGAAUAUUGGACAAUGGGCGAAAGCCUGAUCCCGCAUAGCCGCGUGAGUGAUGAAGGCCUUAGGGUUGUAAAGCUCUUUUACCCGGGAUGAUAAUGACAGUACCGGGAGAAUAAGCUCCGGCUAACUCCGUGCCAGCAGCCGCCGUAA